CUGGGAACAAGAAGCCCCCCAGCCCGCCGCCAUGAUGGGAAAGAGGGAGCGCCCUUCCCAGCAAUCCGCACGGCCCGACACUUCAGAAACACUUCCCUGAUGAGACAUGAUGGAUGCAGGGAUGAAGCCCUUCUGCGUGUCAAUAUGGUGCAAGAGUUAACCCUUCUUUUUGGUCUGUGCCUGCCUUCUGGCUAGAAACAGUUAGGAUAGAUUAAAUGUUCCUUAUCCAAGCUUCUCAAGUAACUUGGCCAUCCAACUUCAGCUUAAAAACCUUUGGAGAAGGAGAACCCACCACAUUUUGAGGCAGCACAUUCCACUGCCGAACAUCUCAACAUCUGAAAGUACUUCCUAAUGUUUACAUGGAAUCUUUUUUCUUACAAUUUGAAUCCAACGCUCUGUGUCCCAAUCUCCAAAACAGUCUUCAUUUCCGAAUUGAAAAAUAUGUUUUCUCUACUCUCUCAAUCUCUGUGUUUAUGUUUAAAUGAUAAAAUGUACAUGUUUAAAUAAUAAGCUGUAACUGUGGUUGGUACUUAAUGCAUAGCAUGUAAUGACUUCAAGGGUACACUGAUCUUUGCUUUCCAAUUUUGGCUCCAAAAUGUCAGGGUCUGAGGUAGGCCCCACCUUUAAUCCCCACAUUUAAUCCCUAGUGCAACCAUCUAGGGAUUAAAGGUGGGGCCUACCCCAGACCCUGAGAUAUCUGAGACUUAGAAAUGACUCCUUCUGAUGUCACAGGAAGGUGACCCUAGUGAUGUUACAAUGAUUAUAUUUAAAGAGUAGUUUCUAGAGAUGUAAUGAAGUACAACCAUCAACCACCAAUGCAUGUGGUAAAAUGUAAAGCCCCAAAUUAAACAAAUGGGUAAAAUGUUUAUACAGUAUAUGCUUUUCAAGGCAAUACUCUUGCCCUAGAAUUCCCCCCCCCCCCCACGCCAUGAGAAGAGAGCCAGAGAAAAGGGACCAGACUUACAGAUUCACAAUAGGGUCCUGAGAACUGGGAAGCCAAGCAACCACUAGUAAUUCCCCUCUCUUUCAUCCGAUCCUCUUCUGUGGGUCAUAGAAUUCAGGACCUUUCCAGACAGGCCCAAAAAUAUGGUGCCUGAUGCACUUGUACAUUGUUUUACAUUUUAAGGGCUUCUUUUUGAGGGGUUUUGGGUGGUCACAUGCAUUCCUGGUAGUUUUGGAGAUGGCAUGGGGAUGCCCCCCCCCCGGAAUGCCCUGGUUUUUGGGGUGAGUGUGAGGACUCAAAUCCAUGCCAAAGAGGGUUUUUUAAACCAGGUUUGGCAUGGAUUUGAGUGCUGUCUGGAAGUGCCCUCAGUAGUAAGAAGAUCUUCUGCCGUCUAGUGAAAAAUGGGUAUUGUGAUCCUUGACAAUUUGUUUGCAAUACAGUUCUUUUGGGGCUUUUGGGUAUCUAAUCUUGAUCACCUCCCACCAGCCAGUUUCACCCACCACUAACUCCUCCCCCCAACUCCAUAGUAAAGUAAUACUGCCUGGAGGGCUGCCUGCAUGCCAGCAAUAAAAAUUUCUGUCAAACUACAAGGUAAAAGGCAACAUUUUUGAACUGGAUUAAAGCCCCAAAAGAACUGUAUUGCAAGCACAUUGACGAGGAUUACAAUGUGCUUUGAUUUUCCCCAAAGUAUACACAAGUCCUUUGUUAACUGAAAUAUGCCUGCACUUAGCUUAUGCAUUACUUUUAUCAUUAGUUCAAUUUGGGAUGACAAAUUGGGCAUAGCAAGUAUCUACACUCACUCAUGUCACCUCAGACACAAUACAGAUCAGAAAAUGUAGUAUCAUACAGAAUUUUUUUCAUAAGUGUCAAUAAGCCAAAGAAGCUCCUCUACCCUAGCUAAUCCCACCAAAGCUGCAUGUAGCUGCCUACAAUAUCAAGGUAAAUCACAACUGCCUCCAGAAUCCCUGUCUGACCAUAUAUGAAUUACAAAGCAGAGAAAAUAGGGGAUACCAGUUAAGUCUGCUUCACCACCUCCCCCGCCAUGUUAAAAAUACAUAUAUCUUAAGACCACAAUGGAAAUCAUAAAACAAGUAAAACAAAUCCACCGGAAGGCUUUUUGUAAGAAGCCUAUGAGAAUCUCUAGAAAGUUCAUAAUGUUUUUCUUUAUUUAUACAAAGCUUACCCGACCUAGUUGUUUAAUUUCACAUGUGCAUGUUGUUGGUUUUGGAUAAAGGGUUUGUCGAAACAUGUUGAACUUCUCUUCUUUUUGUGGUGCAUGAAACUGUAUUUAUUCUUUCCAGGUUAUUUCUACACACAAUACAACAUUUUCUGUUAAAGAAUACAUAGAAAUGCAUUUACAUUGUUAACUGGUGUAUAUCUGAACAUUAUUCACCAGAAUUGUUAAAUUAUAAUAACUUACUACUAAGUAUGGUGUGCUAGCAAAUAAUUGAUACAUCUGUAUUGGAUCCAGAAGGAUAUCAAAAUAAAUUUAAAAAGCAAUAA
Anolis carolinensis (green anole) is the source of this 2446-nucleotide long non-coding RNA. RefSeq lists it as uncharacterized. NCBI's taxonomy places the organism in Eukaryota, Metazoa, Chordata, Lepidosauria, Squamata, Anolidae. The record is from RefSeq and is a predicted model, not a curated record. The transcript has 3 exons.